CGGACGGGUGAGUAACAAGUGAGCAACCUGCCUUAGACAUUGGGAUAGCCUCGGGAAACCGGGAUUAAUACCAAAUGAAAUCACAUAUGCACAUGCAUAAAUGAUCAAAGCUCCGGCGGUCUAAGAUGGACUCGCGUCCCAUUAGCUAGUUGGUGAGGUAACGGCCCACCAAGGCGACGAUGGGUAGCCGGCCUGAGAGGGUGAACGGCCACAUUGGAACUGAGAAACGGUCCAAACUCCUAUGGGAGGCAGCAGCA
RNAcentral lists this ribosomal RNA (257 nucleotides) under uncultured Peptoniphilus sp. RNAcentral's name for it is "partial 16S ribosomal RNA". It matches the Rfam family "Bacterial small subunit ribosomal RNA", at positions 99 to 355 of the family's 1533-position model. Lineage: Bacteria; Bacillati; Bacillota; Tissierellia; Tissierellales; Peptoniphilaceae. The record is from RNAcentral.